RNAcentral lists this long non-coding RNA (212 nucleotides) under Vigna radiata. RNAcentral describes it as "long non-coding RNA (VRAD_LNC011988)". Lineage: Eukaryota; Viridiplantae; Streptophyta; Magnoliopsida; Fabales; Fabaceae. The record is from RNAcentral.
AAAAAUGAUAUAAAAAAAUGGCAAUAAAAACAAAAGUUGUAGUGUCAGACUUUUCCGAGGUCAAAUGUUAAAUCAAAAAUAACAACUUUGAUGCUUCUCUCAAGACGUUUGUGCACAUGCUGCUUGAAAAUCUCCACCCAUCACUUUUCCCAAACAAAGGAUUCCCCCUCAACAAACAUCAUCGUUGCCCUCAAUAACAAAGUAAACCUUUU